This 884-nucleotide ribosomal RNA is filed under the name Francisella endosymbiont of Dermacentor andersoni. RNAcentral describes it as "bacterial SSU rRNA". It matches the Rfam family "Bacterial small subunit ribosomal RNA", at positions 195 to 1070 of the family's 1533-position model. The record is from RNAcentral. Lineage: Bacteria; Pseudomonadati; Pseudomonadota; Gammaproteobacteria; Thiotrichales; Francisellaceae.
GGUGGCUUUUGGGCUGUCGCAGAUGGAUGAGCCUGCGUUGGAUUAGCUAGUUGGUGGGGUAAGGGCCUACCAAGGCUACGAUCCAUAGCUGAUUUGAGAGGAUGAUCAGCCACAUUGGGACUGAGACACGGCCCAAACUCCUACGGGAGGCAGCAGUGAGGAAUAUUGGACAAUGGGGGCAACCCUGAUCCAGCAAUGCCAUGUGUGUGAAGAAGGCCUUAGGGUUGUAAAGCACUUUAGUUGGGGAAGAAAGCUUUGAGGUUAAUAGCCUUGAGGAAAAGGACGUUACCCAAAGAAUAAGCACCGGCUAACUCCGUGCCAGCAGCCGCGGUAAUACGGGGGGUGCAAGCGUUAAUCGGAAUUACUGGGCGUAAAGGGUCUGUAGGUGGUUUGUUAAGUCAGAUGUGAAAGCCUAGGGCUCAACCUUGGAACUGCAUUUGAUACUGGUAAACUAGAGUACGGUAGAGGAAUGGGGAAUUUCUGGUGUAGCGGUGAAAUGCGUAGAGAUCAGAAGGAACACCAAUGGCGAAGGCAACAUUCUGGACCGAUACUGACACUGAGGGACGAAAGCGUGGGGAUCAAACAGGAUUAGAUACCCUGGUAGUCCACGCUGUAAACGAUGAGUACUAGCUGUUGGAGUCGGUGUAAAGGCUCUAGUGGCGCAGCUAACGCGAUAAGUACUCCGCCUGGGGACUACGGCCGCAAGGCUAAAACUCAAAGGAAUUGACGGGGACCCGCACAAGCGGUGGAGCAUGUAGUUUAAUUCGAUGCAACGCGAAGAACCUUACCUGGUCUUGACAUCCUGCGAUCUUUCUAGAGAUAGAUUGGUGCCUUCGGGAACGCAGUGACAGGUGCUGCACGGCUGUCGUCAGCUCGUGUUGUGA